UACGUAGGGAGCGAGCGUUAUCCGGAAUUAUUGGGUGUAAAGGGUGCGUAGACGGGAAAGCAAGUUAGUUGUGAAAUCCCUCGGCUUAACUGAGGAACUGCAACUAAAACUACUUUUCUUGAGUGCAGGAGAGGUAAGUGGAAUUCCUAGUGUAGCGGUGAAAUGCGUAGAUAUUAGGAGGAACACCAGUGGCGAAGGCGACUUACUGGACUGUAACUGACGUUGAGGCACGAAAGUGUGGGGAGCAAACGGG
This 253-nucleotide ribosomal RNA is filed under the name uncultured bacterium. RNAcentral describes it as "partial 16S ribosomal RNA". It matches the Rfam family "Bacterial small subunit ribosomal RNA", at positions 524 to 776 of the family's 1533-position model. The record is from RNAcentral.